Molecule: ribosomal RNA, 253 nt
Filed under: uncultured bacterium
Lineage: Bacteria
Description: partial 16S ribosomal RNA
Rfam family: Bacterial small subunit ribosomal RNA
Source: RNAcentral
UACGAAGGGGGCUAGCGUUGCUCGGAAUCACUGGGCGUAAAGCGCACGUAGGCGGAUUGCUAAGUCAGGGGUGAAAUCCUGGAGCUCAACUCCAGAACUGCCCUUGAUACUGGCGGUCUCGAGUCCGGGAGAGGUGAGUGGAACUGCGAGUGUAGAGGUGAAAUUCGUAGAUAUUCGCAAGAACACCAGUGGCGAAGGCGGCUCACUGGCCCGGUACUGACGCUGAGGUGCGAGAGCGUGGGGAGCAAACCGG